AGCUCUGCUCCGUUUGAGGAAUGCUGUUGGUAGGUCUGAGGUUAUCAGAAAGACGGCGAUUUGGCUGGGGACAGAGACAAAGGGGAUGGAGAGACUCAGAGAACAGAAUCAGGCUCACAGAAGCCAGGCAGAGUGUGUCGGUGAUAAAGCUGGCCUCAAAGGAGAGGAAGGGCUGACCCGGCUCCCUUGCCCAGGCACCUCGCCGCCGAGGCCUGGCCUCAUGGAAAUGGCUCUCCGCUCCCGCUGGCCAGCAGCCAGGCCAACAGCAGCCUCGGCAAGCUGCAUCCCCAGAUAGCCUCUUCACGGACUAGGAAAGUAAGUGUACUUGGGAGUUAUCUGCCUUAAGCUAGCAGCAGGCCGCCCCAUCCGUUAGGGGAGGCGGGAGGGAUUGAGGCAGGGAAGUGUUUUAAAUAUCUUUUGUUUUGUUCCUUUUCGGCCAAUCGGAACCGAGGCCAACUUCGGGCAGGGUGACAGAAGGGCUCACCUUCAGAUCAUGGAGCUGAAGGAGUCAUGUUACAGCCACAAAGAGACCCGUGGCGAUGUCGGGAGACGUUUUAGGUUGUCCGAUCUGGAGGAAGGGCGGGUGCUACUGAGAUCCAGAAGAGGCAGAACUGUGCAGUGAUUGAGUACGUGGCAGCUGGCCUCAGACUGUCUGACGUCUGGGCGUGAAUCCAGCUGUCCCACUGGCCUGGGCAGCUAGGCUGGGCAGACUUGCUUGAGGUAUGAAAUUCUUUGGGACUUGAUUUCCUCAUCUGCGCAAUGGGAGCCAUAAUAAUACUGAUAAUAAUACCCACCUGGAAAUUCACUGACUCCGUGUUGUCAAGCACGGGUAGCCACACACACAGUGAGCACUCAUGCGGUUGCAAUUAGGAUUUCCCUCUGCUCACUCUUAAAAAGGUAAUUUCUGAAUGCCUCCAAGUCAUUUCUCUUCCUUUUCUCAACAUCGAACGUCCCAAAGAAGCACAAGGAUACAUCCUGGUAGCUGGCACGUUCUAAGCAUUGUCAGGUACUGUUCUAAGCAAUUUCCAUAAACUAACCAAUCACCCUCACAAACCUGUGUGCAGUGGGCACCUUAGAGUCAUCAACCCAUUUCCCAGAUGAGGAAGCUGAGGAAGUAUUCAUAGCCUCCUUCUCUUUCCAUCUCCUUCUGCCUGCUCCUCACUUUUUCCUCAACACCUUUCAAUUAUUUACCCAGAAAUUGCCGUGCCAUCAAUAAGGGACUGAUUGAGUAAACAUGGUCCUGCCAUACAGACUGAAGAUUCUACAGCUGUGGCCCAAGAAUCUGGGAACUCUUACGUACCGAUACGGAACACUCUCUAAGACCCAUUCUUGAGUUGAAAAACAAAACAAAACAAGAACAGUAUGUGAAAUAUGUCAUUUAAAAAAAAAAUAGGCAAACCUCUGUGUCUUUUUCUUAACAGGUUUGCUUAUUGGGGAGCUGGCUCAGUUGGGAAAGCAUGCGACUCUUGAUCUCGGGGCUGAGUCUGAGCCCCACGUGGGAUGUAGAAAUUACAUAUAUACACAUGUUUGCUUCUUAUGCACUGAAUUUCUUGGAAGCAUACUUAAAAAAUUGCUAACGCUUUGCAUCCAAAGGGUCCUGGGUGGCAGGAACGGGAAGGAGAUUUUUUUACUGCUGUCUCUUUUGAAUUUCAACCACGCGAAGGUACUACUUCUUCCAAAAUAAAUCAGUAAAUGUAAUAGAGUAUUAGGAAAAUUGUGGAAGGCUAUGAAAUAGGCAAAAAAAAAAAAAAAAGAUUAAUGGGUAGCCUGCUCUGGUGCGUUGGGUUACCUGCACUUUUGUUUCUGAGCUUUUCACAGCUCAGCCACUGGUAGAAAACCAAUAGUAAUGCAAGACGCUCUUGUCCAUAGACAUGCAAAU
Long non-coding RNA from Prionailurus viverrinus (fishing cat), 1879 nucleotides. RefSeq lists it as uncharacterized. The transcript is spliced from 4 exons. The record is from RefSeq and is a predicted model, not a curated record. NCBI's taxonomy places the organism in Eukaryota, Metazoa, Chordata, Mammalia, Carnivora, Felidae.